UGACUGCUCUCUCUGCAGGUGUCUGAAGGCCAGGAUGGUCUCCCCAUGGCAGCUCCUGUGGCUGCUGGUGCUCUGGGCUCAGGAUUCCCGAGGAGCCAUUGUGCUGACCCAGUCUCCAGCCUCCUUGUCUGGAUCUCCAGGAGAGAGAGUCACCCUCAGCUGCAAGGCCAGUGAGAAUGUAUAUAACAACCUUCAUUGGUACCAGCAGAAACCAGGCCAAGCCCCCAGGCUCCUCAUCUAUGGGGCUACCAGCCUGGCAUCUGGAGUGCCUGCCCGGUUCAGUGGCAGUGGGUCUGGGACAGAUUUCACUCUCACCAUCAGCAGCUUGGAGCCUGAGGAUGCUGGAGAUUAUUACUGUCAGCAGAGUAUUUACUUGCCUCCCACAGUGCUUCAGGCCUUAACAAAAACCUCCCCAGGCUGCUCAGGGGAUUCAGCUCAGAGCAGCAGCUGCCUCCUCUCUGGUCCCCAGGCAGAGCAGCCCCUGCUCUCUGGGCAGGCUCACACCUCCCAGGGCUUCACCUUACUGCUCCCUUAGCACCCCUCCUUUCUC
Non-coding RNA from Dromiciops gliroides (monito del monte), 550 nucleotides. The record is from the annotation of a RefSeq genome assembly. Lineage: Eukaryota; Metazoa; Chordata; Mammalia; Microbiotheria; Microbiotheriidae.